Molecule: ribosomal RNA, 1165 nt
Filed under: uncultured archaeon
Lineage: Archaea
Description: bacterial SSU rRNA
Rfam family: Archaeal small subunit ribosomal RNA
Source: RNAcentral
AAUACCCGAUAGUCCUCGAAUGCUGGAAUGCGUCGAGGACGAAAGCUCCGGUGCCUAAGGAUGGGUCUGCGGCCUAUCAGGUAGUAGUGGGUGUAGCGUACCUACUAGCCUACGACGGGUACGGGUUGUGAGAGCAAGAGCCCGGAGAUGGAUUCUGAGACACGAAUCCAGGCCCUACGGGGUGCAGCAGGCGCGAAAACUUUACAAUGCUGGCAACAGCGAUAAGGGAACCUCGAGUGCCAGGUUACAAAUCUGGCUGUCGAGAUGCCUAAAAAGCAUUUCAUAGCAAGGGCCGGGCAAGACCGGUGCCAGCCGCCGCGGUAACACCGGCGGCUCGAGUGGUAACCGUUAUUAUUGGGUCUAAAGGGUCUGUAGCCGGCCGGAUAAGUCUCUUGGGAAAUCUGGCAGCUCAACUGUCAGGCUUUCAGGAGAUACUGUCUGGCUCGAGGCCGGGAGAGGUGAGAGGUACUUCAAGGGGUAGGGGGUGAAAUUUUUGUAAUCCUUGAAGGACCACCAGUGGCGAAGGCGUCUCACCAGAACGGACUUGACGGCAAGGGACGAAAGCUAGGGGCACGACCCGGAUUAGAUACCCGGGUAGUCCUAGCCGUAAACGAUAACUCGCUAGGUGUCGGCCACGGUGCGACCGUUGUUCGUUGCCGUAGGGAAGCCGUGAAGCGAGCCACCUGGGAAGUACGGCCGCAAGGCUGAAACUUAAAGGAAUUGGCGGGGGAGCACCACAACGGGUGGAGCUUGCGGUUUAAUUGGAUUCAACGCCGGAAAUCUUACCGGGACCGACAGCAAUAUGAAGGCCAGGCUGAAGACUUUGCCGGAUUAGCUGAGAGGUGGUGCAUGGCCGUCGUCAGUUCGUACUGUGAAGCAUCCUGUUAAGUCAGGCAACGAGCGAGACCCACGCCCACAGUUGCCAGCGUACUCUCCGGAGUGAUGGGUACACUGUGGGGACCGCCGCUGCUAAAGCGGAGGAAGGAAUGGGCAACGGUAGGUCAGUAUGCCCCGAAUAUCCCGGGCUACACGCGAGCUACAAUGGUUGGUACAAUGGGUAUCUACCCCGAGAGGGGAUGGCAAUCUCCUAAAACCAAUCUUAGUUCGGAUUGAGGGCUGCAACUCGCCCUCAUGAAGCUGGAAUCCGUAGUAAUCGCGUUUCAAC